Mugil cephalus (flathead mullet) is the source of this 765-nucleotide long non-coding RNA. RefSeq lists it as uncharacterized. The transcript has 3 exons. The record is from RefSeq and is a predicted model, not a curated record. NCBI's taxonomy places the organism in Eukaryota, Metazoa, Chordata, Actinopteri, Mugiliformes, Mugilidae.
GUCACAGGGCUACUAUGAUUGGAGACUCUUACGCUUCUGUAAAUGUUAUCAGCCACAAACACACACUGGAAAUGAUGGUAGGCAUCAGCUAAACACUGAUCAGCCUUCUCGUGGUAGCCAAAACACUGCUGUGCAACCGAAUACAGGAUGGCUAAGUUGCUGAGUGGGUUAAGAACGAUGAGCUGAGCUGAGCUGAGAUGAAUUUCCUCUCAGCCAUUUGGAGAUGCCUGAUCAUGCUUCUUACCUUUUCCAUCCAGCGUUGCCCUCUGCGGCCAGCUGGUUGCCAGGUCUUCAACCCCCUCGGCUACCUGACAGUAAAGCCAGAUGCAACCUUCCUCCUGGGCUCCAACCUGACAGUGUACUGCCACAUCACAAAUAAUCCGGGGAAAAAAGAAUGGUAGUAAAGCAAUACCUUAAAAUUUAUAAGUUAGUGUCCCAAGGUAGAAGGAGAUUGUGCUUCUUCUGCUCUCUUGAUGCAUGUGCAGUUGAACUCGUUAUGAAGAAAUUUAAAAGUUAACUUUGUGGUAUAUCUGUUUGCAAUUCAGGGUCUCAGAGCUUAUCACCCCUGAAGGUACUUCACUUGAUUUAUAGUUCAUAAUUGAGAUUGCAUGUCAGUGCAAAUCACCUUAAUCAGCCACACCUGAGAAGACUGACUAAAAGGCCUGUUGAAGAAGCCUGGGGAAUGACUUUUCCACUGCAGAAGCUCACCAUGGCUCACCUGUUUUUCUGUCCCUUCUUGUAAAAUAAAUACUUUUUGAAACUCCA